RNAcentral lists this long non-coding RNA (296 nucleotides) under Setaria viridis. RNAcentral describes it as "long non-coding RNA (SVIR_LNC011240)". The record is from RNAcentral. Lineage: Eukaryota; Viridiplantae; Streptophyta; Magnoliopsida; Poales; Poaceae.
UAAACUUUAGGAGGGUCACAUCGGAUGUUCGAACGCUAAUUAGGAGGACUAAACAUGAGCUAAUUAUAAAACUAACUGCAGAACCCCUGUACUAAUUCACGAGAUGAAUCUAUUAAGCCUAAUUAAUCCAUCAUUAGAAAAUGUUUACUGUAGCACCACAUUAUCAAAUCGUGGACUAAUUAGGCUUAAUAGAUUCGUCUCGCGAAUUAGACUCCAUCUGUGCAAUUAGUUUUGUAAUUAGACUAUAUUUAAUACUCCUAAUUAGUAUCUAAACAUCCGAUGUGAUAGGUACUAAA